CAGCCAAUCACUGUGCACAGAUCUUCAGCGCCGUCCAGAAUUUCCAGCAUUUAACCAGCCACAGCAAAGAAUUGUUGGAGUAGCGACUAAUCUUGACCCGUCAGAUACACGACCGUUCUUUUGUUACAGUAAGCUUGCAAGCAGAGCAACGAGACGGGUGUGUUCCUUACCUUUCCUGCCCAAGCUGUUUUCCAAUGUCCUCCGCAACUCUUAUCAGGAUUCACUAUUCGAAACCUAGUAAAUAAAUGUUGUUUUGGAAUAA
This is a long non-coding RNA of Trichomycterus rosablanca, 262 nucleotides long. RefSeq lists it as uncharacterized. The record is from RefSeq and is a predicted model, not a curated record. The transcript is spliced from 2 exons. NCBI's taxonomy places the organism in Eukaryota, Metazoa, Chordata, Actinopteri, Siluriformes, Trichomycteridae.